This is a long non-coding RNA of Nycticebus coucang (slow loris), 780 nucleotides long. RefSeq lists it as uncharacterized. The record is from RefSeq and is a predicted model, not a curated record. Lineage: Eukaryota; Metazoa; Chordata; Mammalia; Primates; Lorisidae. The transcript has 2 exons.
GCCCUGGACUGCUCCCGGCCGCUCCACCUGCUACCAGCGCGCUCACCUUCGGCUCCGGCCUCCAGCCGCUCCACUCAGAGUCGCCUGAGAUGGUGCCCGGACGGAUCACGGUGGCGGCCGCGAACCGCGAAAAGCCAGGGGCAGAGCACCCCCACCUCCACACCCUCCUAGCUCUCUGAAGGCUUCGUGGGAGACCCCAGCUUUCGGGGCCAAGAUCAUGUUGGGCUGGGCGGCGUCAAUGGCUGGAGCAGAGACGAUCUGAAGAGGGGAUGGCCAUCCUUGGCUACCUUGUGCUGGCCACCUGAAGAGUCCCCCUGAACUUUCCCUUAUACCUGAGGAUCUGGCCUUGUCCCCUCUGUUGACCAAGUCCCCUCCCCUAGAGUCUUCACCCCUCCUGAUAACAGCCACUGUUUUCCUAAAUGGCCAUUUCAUACAGGGUACUGCGGGACAGAUGAGCCUCAUAAGGCUGGAUGAGCCUACAUGCUGACAUCUGGGGACUAUUUAUUCACUUUCAAGGCCUGCAGUCAUAAAUAAGGAGACUGGACUCCAUGGUGCCCACCAAGGACCCAGGGCACUCCGUGUACCCAGUGAAGCAUUGACUAGCUGUAAAUUCAGUCUAAGUAGAAACACUUUAAAGAUAUAGUAACCUGGAAAACAGGAGAUAUUUUAACCUUGUAAUUUACAGGAAGGGGGAUCUGUUUAAUGUAUGCUAUGCUGAUUACUAACACUGCUGAUGCUUGCUUUGGCUGUAAAGGUAUAAAAAUAAAAGUAACAAAAAGA